GCCCGGGUGGCGAAAUCGGUAGACGCAGGGGACUCAAAAUCCCCCGCCGCAAGGCGUGUCGGUUCGAGUCCGACCCCGGGCA
Molecule: transfer RNA, 82 nt
Filed under: Laribacter hongkongensis HLHK9
Lineage: Bacteria; Pseudomonadati; Pseudomonadota; Betaproteobacteria; Neisseriales; Aquaspirillaceae
Also listed under: 1 other name
Rfam family: tRNA
About the family: Transfer RNA (tRNA) molecules are approximately 80 nucleotides in length.
Source: Rfam by way of RNAcentral